AGGAAAGGAAUAGGACUAUGGCCUUCAACCCUGAAGAUGAUCUGUUCUGCUGUCCAAAAGCAGAGCAACAACUUUUAAAUGCCAGUCAAUGAUGGAGUUUUUAUUGGUCUAUGUGAACUAAGAAAGAUAAGGACCAGAUGUAGUAAGUUUUUCAUAAAGGAAAGGAUGGUAUGGGCUGCCAUGAAGAGGACGGAGUGAUGGGAGA
Eubalaena glacialis (North Atlantic right whale) is the source of this 205-nucleotide long non-coding RNA. RefSeq lists it as uncharacterized. NCBI's taxonomy places the organism in Eukaryota, Metazoa, Chordata, Mammalia, Artiodactyla, Balaenidae. The transcript has 3 exons. The record is from RefSeq and is a predicted model, not a curated record.